UGAGCUUCGAACUUUAUUUCUUUAAAUCACUUGGACUUGACGAAAUCACAGCUAUUAGCCCAAGUGUCGCCCGGCAAAGAUCGGGAGAUCAAUUUGCGACUUCACGUAGUAAACGAACGGAUGGUUGGCAACGAAGUGAUGGCGCCUGAAACCCGCCACUGGCAUCACCCGGAAUCCUGUGGAGGCGAUGUAGAACAUGGCUGAGUUGCGUUGACUUUAUUGAGGGUCUAAUUUAUUACAUGCUUGGUUAGUAGAAAAGUGUAAAGUGUAAAUAUAAGAUCUUUGAUUGUG
Drosophila serrata is the source of this 291-nucleotide long non-coding RNA. RefSeq lists it as uncharacterized. The record is from RefSeq and is a predicted model, not a curated record. NCBI's taxonomy places the organism in Eukaryota, Metazoa, Arthropoda, Insecta, Diptera, Drosophilidae.